RNAcentral lists this ribosomal RNA (465 nucleotides) under Vreelandella stevensii. RNAcentral describes it as "partial 16S ribosomal RNA". It matches the Rfam family "Bacterial small subunit ribosomal RNA", at positions 338 to 795 of the family's 1533-position model. The record is from RNAcentral. Lineage: Bacteria; Pseudomonadati; Pseudomonadota; Gammaproteobacteria; Oceanospirillales; Halomonadaceae.
CCUACGGGAGGCUGCAGUGGGGAAUAUUGGACAAUGGGCGAAAGCCUGAUCCAGCCAUGCCGCGUGUGUGAAGAAGGCCUUCGGGUUGUAAAGCACUUUCAGUGGGGAAGAAAGCCUUGGGGCUAAUACCCUCGAGGAAGGACAUCACCCACAGAAGAAGCACCGGCUAACUCCGUGCCAGCAGCCGCGGUAAUACGGAGGGUGCGAGCGUUAAUCGGAAUUACUGGGCGUAAAGCGCGCGUAGGCGGUCUGAUAAGCCGGUUGUGAAAGCCCCGGGAUCAACCUGGGAACGGCAUCCGGAACUGUCAGGCUAGAGUGCAGGAGAGGAAGGUAGAAUUCCCGGUGUAGCGGUGAAAUGCGUAGAGAUCGGGAGGAAUACCAGUGGCGAAGGCGGCCUUCUGGACUGACACUGACGCUGAGGUGCGAAAGCGUGGGUAGCAAACAGGAUUAGAUACCCGGGUAGUC